This 406-nucleotide long non-coding RNA is filed under the name Sorghum bicolor (sorghum). RNAcentral describes it as "long non-coding RNA (SBIC_LNC006772)". Lineage: Eukaryota; Viridiplantae; Streptophyta; Magnoliopsida; Poales; Poaceae. The record is from RNAcentral.
AUGCUGUAGAAUAUUUUAUUCUGUGCUCUUUUCUUUGGCUAGAAUUUAAUUGCAUUCCAAAUUUUAUUUGGAAAAGGUUUUUGGAAAGGAAAACAGAAAAGAAAGAAAAAAAAGAGAAAAGACCCCAACCCGUGGAAACCAGGCCGAAGCCCCUUCCUCACCCCCUCUAUCCCCUUCGGCCCAGCGCGCAGCAAGCCCCGCCUCCCUUCUCGGCCCAAGCCAGCAGCGCCGCGGCCCAAUUCCUCCCAGCCCAGCGAGAUCUAGUCUCUCUUCCUCUCUCCCUUUCACUGACCAGUGGACCCCGCCUGUCAGUCGACUUCAUCUCUUUCCUCUCGCCGUGAGCUAGCCGGACACGGCCGGGAGCGAAUCCAAUCCCGAUUUCCCGGGGUUAUUGCCUUAUGCGCCC